RNAcentral lists this unclassified non-coding RNA (229 nucleotides) under fungal sp. RNAcentral describes it as "partial internal transcribed spacer region". The record is from RNAcentral. Lineage: Eukaryota; Fungi.
AAGUCGUAACAAGGUCUCCGUUAGUAAACUAGCGGAGGGAUUAUUACCGAGUUAUUACUCUAAACCCUUUAUGAACCUUACUAUUUUAUUGCUCGGCGUACCGCGGGCCGCGGCUUCGGCCCGUCCCGUAGCGCGCUAGAGGACCUAACUCUUUAAUUUAUAGCGUACCUUCUAAUUUAUAAAAUAAAUAAGUUAAAACUUUUAAUAACGGAUCUCUUAGUUCUAGUAU